Long non-coding RNA from Drosophila navojoa, 111 nucleotides. Lineage: Eukaryota; Metazoa; Arthropoda; Insecta; Diptera; Drosophilidae. The record is from RefSeq and is a predicted model, not a curated record.
GCUUGCUUUGCUUUUCUCUUGUUUUUCUUCUUCCUCCUCUUCUACUUUUCACUAUACUCCUAUGCCCAUUUACCUGUCUGUGUGUAUAUGUAUAGUUGUGUGUGUGUGUGU